This 324-nucleotide ribosomal RNA is filed under the name uncultured bacterium. RNAcentral describes it as "bacterial SSU rRNA". It matches the Rfam family "Bacterial small subunit ribosomal RNA", at positions 28 to 352 of the family's 1533-position model. The record is from RNAcentral.
GACGAACGCUGGCGGCGUGCUUAACACAUGCAAGUCGAGCGGUAAGGCCCUUUCGGGGGGUACACGAGCGGCGAACGGGUGAGUAACACGUGGGUGACCUGCCCUCAGCUCUGGGAUAAGCCUGGGAAACCGGGUCUAAUACUGGAUAUGACUCCAUGACGCAUGUUGUGGGGUGGAAAGCCUUGUGCGGCUGAGGAUGGGCCCGCGGCCUAUCAGCUUGUUGGUGGGGUGANGGCCUACCAAGGCGACGACGGGUAGCCGGCCUGAGAGGGCGACCGGCCACACUGGGACUGAGACACGGCCCAGACUCCUACGGGAGGCAGC